Molecule: ribosomal RNA, 448 nt
Filed under: uncultured bacterium
Lineage: Bacteria
Description: bacterial SSU rRNA
Rfam family: Bacterial small subunit ribosomal RNA
Source: RNAcentral
GCCAGACUCCUACGGGAGGCAGCAGUGGGGAAUAUUGCACAAUGGGGGAAACCCUGAUGCAGCGACGCCGCGUGAGUGAAGGAGUAUUUCGGUAUGUAAAGCUCUAUCAGCAGGAACGAGACAAGACGGUACCUGACUAAGAAGCCCCGGCUAACUACGUGCCAGCAGCCGCGGUAAUACGUAGGGGGCAAGCGUUAUCCGGAUUUACUGGGUGUAAAGGGUGCGUAGGUGGCAUGGCAAGUCAGAAGUGAAAGCCCGGGGCUCAACCCCGCGGACUGCUUUUGAAACUGUCAGGCUGGAGUACAGGAGAGGUAAGCGGAAUUCCUAGUGUAGCGGUGAAAUGCGUAGAUAUUAGGAGGAACACCAGUGGCGAAGGCGGCUUACUGGACUGUAACUGACACUGAGGCACGAAAGCGUGGGGAGCAAACAGGAUUAGAUACCCGCGUAA